This 2377-nucleotide long non-coding RNA is filed under the name Sus scrofa (pig). RNAcentral describes it as "lncRNA (ENSSSCG00000051544.1)". The record is from RNAcentral. Lineage: Eukaryota; Metazoa; Chordata; Mammalia; Artiodactyla; Suidae.
GGAACUCUCUCAACCAAAUGGAUUAGGUCCUCGCUAGCCUAAAGUCUUUUAAAAAGCAGACCUAAUUUGGAUCUAUAAAAGGGUGAAGUUUCUAUGGAAAACAGGACAGCGGUUCCUCAAAAGAUUAAGCAGUGAAUUACCAUAUCACCUAGAAACUCCCCUUCUGAUGUCCAUCAGCAGAAAGGUGGAUAACCAAACAUGGUAUCUGCAUGCAAUGGAGUGCUAGUCACCCUUAAAAAAAUGAAAUUAUGACAUGCGCUACAACAUAGGCGAAUCUUGAAGACAUUGUGCUAAGUGAAACAAGCCCAUCACGAAAAGACAAAUAGUGUGUGAUUCCAUUUACAUGAGAGUAGUCAAAAUCAGAGAUAAGGAAGUAUGAUGGUGGCUGCCAGGGGCUGGGCAAAGGGGUUGGAAGGUUUGUGUUGAAUGAAUACAGAGUCUUAGUUUUGCAAGAUGAAAAAAAGUUUUGGAGAUGGAUGGUGCUGAUGGUUGCACAACAAUGUACUAUGAUGUCACCAAACUGUACACUUAAAAAUGGUUAAAACGGCAAAUUUUAUUGUGUGUGUGUGUGUGUGGCCACAGUAAAAUAAAUCCAUUGGCUACUCUUUAACCCAAUUCCUCCAAGCCUUACUCAUGAUGUUCCUUCUGCCUAGAAAGUGCCACUUUGCAAACCUACCUCUGACCUUUCCCUGACAGUCCAAAGCAGAAUGUGUUGCUGUCCCCUCAGAGACCCAGCGGUUUUUUGUUCUCUCGGGCCCUACGGCAUCACUACCAUCAAACCUCUGAGAGGGUUAUGCUGGCAUCUCCGCCAAGGGAGGACGAAUCUGAAGUAGAACAGUCUACCCGCACAUUUAACUAAUGAAUGAAUUCGGUCCUGUACCAUGUAGAACACUCUGUAAGCAUCACUCUCUGUCCAGUGAACCAUUUUUCCAUCAAAGGAAAGGUUUUGCAGGAAGCAACUGUCAGAAGAUAAAUGGAGCAGGACUCUGAAACAUUGGGAUUUAAUAUGUUUUCCUUUAAAGUUGCAUCGGCUUGGUAUAAGCACUUCCAUUCCUAACAAUGUAUGGACAUUUUCUUUUGGUGGACUUUGGUCAGUGAAGUAUUGAGAAUGAGUAACGCAGUGUCUUUGACCAUUUUCAGUUAAAGAAAUGGGCCUUCUGAGGUCCCACAGAAUAUUCUACUUUCUCUUAAAUGUCGGGGCCCCUUAUCAAUAACCCAUCUUACAAAUGGGAAUACUGAUACUUCAAAAAUCUGAUAGGAGUUUCCAUUGUGGCUCAGUGGUUAACGAAUCCAACUAGGAACCGUGGGGUUGUGGGUUCAAUCCCUAGCCUUGCUCAAUGGGUUGGGGAUCUGGUGUUGCCAUGAGCUGUGGUGUAGGUCGCAGAUACAGCUUGGAUCCCACACUGCUGUGGCUCUGGCAUAAGCCUUCAGCUAAAGCUCCAAUUCGACCCCUAGCAUGGGAACCUCCAUAUGCCAUGGGUGUGGCCCUAGAAAAGGCAAUAAAUAAACAAACAAACAAAUAAAUAAAUAAAUCUGAUAGAUUUGUUCUAAGUCAUAUAAAAGGAGUCAAUAGGUAUAUGAUCAAGGGAUCUAAUAUCUCCUUCUUCAGCCCAUUACUUUUUACACGUCAGACCUCUCACCCUGAUGUUCUGUAUUAAGGUUGUUCUCAUAGUCACUCAGCCAAUCAAUAAGGGUUUUUGAGCACCUAUUAUGUCUCCAGCCCUGUACUUGACCCUGGGGAGAAGAGGGAAGGGUACAUAAAAUAUGUAAAAGGCACAGUCCGUGUUCUCAAAGUUUAUUAUCUAAAUGUCACAACCCCUAUCAAAGGGAUCUAUAAAAAGCAUCUAUGAAUAAACUCGGCUUUUGAUAUCUCAGACAAACAUUACAUGAAUCUAUAUGUACAACACAAUCUAUAAACAAACCGAACAGCAGUAGAGAAAAUUAAGGUAGAUUAGGAUACCAUCUGCUUGGCAAGUUAAUUAAGUUAAUAUUAGUCUACAAUCAAUGAAGGGUUGCAUUUAAGCUCCACCUUGCCCCAUUAAACCAUGUAUCCUUUUGUAAAUAAGAAAAUAAAAAAUAAAAUUCACAUUAUGUCUGGAACAUUAGCUAAUUAGGGGCCAUGUUAGCAAACAGCUAUGUGGCCUUCAUAUGUUAUAUAUUGAAAGGGAAAUUUGUACUUUCCACUCUGCAUCUAAAAUAACCCCUUAUCUAAGAACUAGUAUAGAACUUAAGGUGACUGAAACAGGUAUUAUCUGUUGGGGGGGCCUCAAAAUUGCCUUGAAAUCAUUUGCCUUUUAAUGCAUGUUCCUGAACUUGAGCAAGCAGCAUAGUCCAUUAACAAACCAGAUCCUCCACUGAAUGCCUUCUGCUUUCUCCC